RNAcentral lists this ribosomal RNA (258 nucleotides) under Triticum aestivum (bread wheat). Its description in RNAcentral is "partial small subunit ribosomal RNA". Lineage: Eukaryota; Viridiplantae; Streptophyta; Magnoliopsida; Poales; Poaceae. The record is from RNAcentral.
AUGGAGGUAGAUGCCCUGCUCAGCAUCCUGCACCUCUUCGGCGAGGCCACGGGCCUGCACGUCAACCUGGCCAAGUCCUCGGCUGUGCCGAUUAGCUGCGGCGACCUCGACCUCGGUUUCAUCUUGCACAACUUUGGCGGCAUCGUGGCGUCACUACCCAUCACGUACCUAGGCCUCCCAAUCACCACCAGUAGGAUUCGUUUAGUCCACCUGCAGUUCAUCCUAGAUAGGAUUCGUGCGCGCCUUGCUGGUUGGAAG